This 439-nucleotide ribosomal RNA is filed under the name uncultured bacterium. RNAcentral's name for it is "partial 16S ribosomal RNA". It matches the Rfam family "Bacterial small subunit ribosomal RNA", at positions 339 to 795 of the family's 1533-position model. The record is from RNAcentral.
CUACGGGUCGCACCAGUGAGGAAUAUUGCACAAUGGGGGGAACCCUGAUGCAGCAACGCCGCGUGGAGGAUGACGCAUUUCGGUGUGUAAACUCCUUUUAUAUGUCAAGAAAAUGACGGUAGCAUAUGAAUAAGCACCGGCUAUCUCCGUGCCAGCAGCCGCGGUAAUACGGAGGGUGCAAGCGUUACUCGGAAUCACUGGGCGUAAAGGACGCGUAGGCGGGUUGGAAAGUCAGGUGUGAAAUCCUACAGCUUAACUGUAGAACUGCACUUGAAACUUCUAAUCUAGAGUAUGGGAGGGGGAGAUGGAACUAGUGGUGUAGGGGUAAAAUCCGUAGAUAUCACUAGGAAUACCUAAAGCGAAGGCGAUCUCCUGGAACAUUACUGACGCUAAGGCGUGAAAGCGUGGGGAGCGAACAGGAUUAGAUACCCCUGUAGUC